Molecule: transfer RNA, 64 nt
Filed under: Sambus femoralis
Lineage: Eukaryota; Metazoa; Arthropoda; Insecta; Coleoptera; Buprestidae
Description: tRNA-Pro
Source: RNAcentral
CAAGGGAUAGUUUAAGUAAAAUAUUAAUUUUGGAGAUUAAUGAUAAGAGUAAUCUUUUCCUUGA